Molecule: ribosomal RNA, 254 nt
Filed under: uncultured bacterium
Lineage: Bacteria
Description: partial 16S ribosomal RNA
Rfam family: Bacterial small subunit ribosomal RNA
Source: RNAcentral
UACGUAGGCAGCGAGCGUUGUUCGGAGUUACUGGGCGUAAAGGGUGUGUAGGCGGUUGUUUAAGUUUGGUGUGAAAUCUCCCGGCUCAACUGGGAGGGUGCGCCGAAUACUGAAUGACUUGGAGUGCGGGAGAGGUGAGUGGAAUUCCAGGUGUAGCGGUGGAAUGCGUAGAUAUCUGGAAGAACACCGGUGGCGAAGGCGGCUCGCUGGGCCAGUUCUGACACUCAUCCGCGAAAGCGUGGGGAGCAAACAGG